AUCGGUUUGAAACACAGACCUUAUGAAAGCAGUUUUAGUAAAGCAGUCCUCAGUUCAAGCGUUAUCCAUAGAUACCCUUCUGCGAGAGCCUCCUCCUAAGUGCCCAGUAAGUAAACUCUGCAAACAGGCCAUGUUCGUCACGUUAAGUGGCUCAAAAAAUCUAAAGGAAAUAUCUAUGUCUAACAAAAUGACUGGUUUAGUAAAAUGGUUUAACGCUGAUAAAGGUUUCGGCUUCAUUACUCCUGAAGACGGCAGCAAAGAUGUAUUCGUACACUUCUCUGCAAUCCAGAGCAAUGAUUUCAAAACCCUGGAUGAAGGCCAGAAAGUUGAGUUCUCAAUCGAGAACGGCGCUAAAGGCCCAUCAGCUGUAAACGUUGUUCCGCUUUAAGUAGCGAACAAUCGCACAGGAAUCU
This 413-nucleotide small RNA is filed under the name Duffyella gerundensis. Its description in RNAcentral is "Erwinia gerundensis cspA thermoregulator". It matches the Rfam family "cspA thermoregulator". Lineage: Bacteria; Pseudomonadati; Pseudomonadota; Gammaproteobacteria; Enterobacterales; Erwiniaceae. The record is from Rfam by way of RNAcentral.